Molecule: RNA transcript, 899 nt
Organism: Hipposideros armiger (great roundleaf bat)
Lineage: Eukaryota; Metazoa; Chordata; Mammalia; Chiroptera; Hipposideridae
Gene name: zinc finger CCCH domain-containing protein 7A-like
Exons: 5
Source: RefSeq, a predicted model, not a curated record
CGCCCAUCCAGCUCUGCCUGUCCAGUCAUUUCCUCUAGGACGCCCUCCUUUAUCAUGCUUGUCCUUUUGUGAACAGUUUUACCAGGUUUUAAGGGGCAGGGGGCUUAGACUGUGUGAAGCAUUCAUCCUCUUUCAUUCAAGUAUGUAUUGACCUGGACUGGCUACUGUAAUACAAUCAGAACUAGGAAAAAGUACCUCUUGAAGUGAAUAAUGACGUGAGAGUAGGACGUGGUGACAAUUUAGGGUGGCACAGGAAGGCCUGUACAGGUGACACACACUUAAGCCAAGACUCCGGGAUGAAAAGCAGCCAGCUCUGGAGUUGUUAUGGGCAGAGGGAACAGCAAGCACAAUGGCCCAAAGGCACAGAGCCCUCGACUCAUUUUAGGAACCCACAGAAGGCCAGUGUGACAGGAGCAUCACGACAGGCUUUGUCAGUGGAUUGAUUGGAAGUGGCCUGCGAGAGAAAAGAGGGUAAUGCCAGGUGUCUGAGCAACUGGCCAGAAGGUGGUUUCAUUACUGAAAAGAUUGCUCACGUAGAAAGUGGAUGUGCGGGGUAACAUGUCCAGUGUGUCCGAGGAGAGAAGAAAAAGGCAGCAGAGUAUCAAGGAAGGACUGCAGUUUAUACAGUCACCGCUGUCGUAUCCAGGAACACAGGAACAAUAUGCGGUAUAUUUACGUGCUCUUGUGAGAAAUCUUUUUAAUGAAGGAAAUGAUGUAUACCGGGAAUGUGAUUGGAACAGCUCAAUAAGCCAGUACACGGAAGCUUUGAAUAUAGCUGAUUAUGCAAAGUCUGAAGAAAUUUUAAUCCAUAAAGAAAUCAUUGAAAAACUACUUAUAAAUCGUAUUGCUUGCUAUUCUAUUAUGGUGAGUUUUUAAAACCAUGUUUCUAGUGAGAAAAA